Molecule: non-coding RNA, 1148 nt
Organism: Cricetulus griseus (Chinese hamster)
Lineage: Eukaryota; Metazoa; Chordata; Mammalia; Rodentia; Cricetidae
Source: RefSeq, a predicted model, not a curated record
ACAGGAGACCAGGAGCUGACACUCAUGCCACCUGUUUGCUUCCUGGCCCUGUUACUGGCCCCUGAAGAAGCAGAGCCCUGGGGCCUGGGGCCUGGCUUGGGGCUGGGCUGCACAGGUCCCUAGAGGCCUCAGGACAUUGCUGGGGAACGGAAUCUGGGUCUGAUUCCCAGGCGAGCAGAUUGUUCUUUUGAUUAAAGCUACAAUAGGGGAGGGGACAGGGGAGAGCUGGACCCAGAGUCAUCGCUGGGACAGGGGCAGCCAGGCAGGAUUGGGUCCCCUUCUGCAGCCCACAGCCAAUCCACUCCUCACAGCGGUCCUGCGGUUACUGCUGAAGGGACCACCCCACUAAGACAUCAGAGUGGGGGUGCUUAUCUCCAUCCUCUUCCUCCACAACUGAGCCCCACACCCCUUUAACAGCCUUCUCUCCCUCUGUCACCAGCCUUUUCCACUUGGUUCUUCCUGCCAGUGUGGAGUGACAAAGACAGUCGCUACAGUAGCUGCCACCUCUAGAGGCUUCCCCUGUGUCCCUUUCAAACUUUUAACCUUUCCAGCCUCUACUCCAGGACUGAACUGCCCCACCUACAGACCAGACCCUGAAGCUGGUUCGGAUCAAGGGUGGUACAAUGGGCAAGGGGCGAGGUUGGAUUCAAGCCAGACCACAGGGUGACCCUCCAGGCACAUGAAUCUGCUAGUCACAGAGGCUGGAUCGCUGCCACCAUCCCCAGAGGUCGAUUAGCGUGCGAACACCUGCCAAGGACCAGAGCUCAGCCACAAGAGAAACAAGAACACCGAGGAGGUCCAGCCAACGGCCAACAGCCAUCAACAGGAUGAAGAGGCCCCCCAUGCGCACCAGCACCGUCUGGACCUGGCCCUGUAGGCUGAAGCGAUGCUGCCGCUGCUCCUCUGCAGGAAUUGUUUGUCACUGUGGCAGCCGGCACCCUCUGGAGGUCAGCUGGGGCCAGCCUGUUCCACUUUUCAAUGCCUCCCCCAGAGACAGUAUCGCCUUCCCCUUCCCAGACUGCCUUUCCACAUCCUGGCUUCCCUCUCUGGGCACUCACAAGAUGUACAGCCCACCCUUAAGUCUCCCUCUGGCUUGAGGGCAGAGCCCUUUCCAGUUGGUGACAAAGACCGAGAUUCUCCCCUUUGUG